This 1748-nucleotide long non-coding RNA is filed under the name Homo sapiens (human). RNAcentral describes it as "novel transcript, sense intronic to RYR2". The record is from RNAcentral. Lineage: Eukaryota; Metazoa; Chordata; Mammalia; Primates; Hominidae.
UUUUUUCUUUUUUUUUUUUUUUUUUUGCCAAGAUGAAGGCCUGAUAAGGAUCUUCACCAGCAGCUGACCCUCAGUGUUCCCUAAAGCCAAUAGAAACUAUGAUCAACCUCAGAAUGAAUCUGUUUAGGAGACGGAUGAGGGAGGGAAGCCACAGACUAUAACAUCUUGGAAAUCAACAACUUCCUCUUCUAAAUUUUUGUAGGACCAGGCACCUUCCUUCCUCAUUACUCAGAUUGUCUGAAAGAAGCACAUCUUUUUGUCUCACAGCAUUACUUCUUUCCACCUCCAGCUCUCAUUAUCAGGUUUAGGCUGAUUCUAUGAAAAGAAAGGUGGAUAAAAGGAUUUUCAGUUGCAGCAGGAUAAUUUGGUAGCUGAAAGCCUGACAGCCAUGUAUUGGAAGUUAUUCACCACAUACCUCCUAUUCCAGCACCACAGCCAACUACAUACAGUUGUCUAAGGCUGACCAGGUAGUAAAGGAUGAAGCUGGGAAAACCAGUAUCAACAUCCCACAGGUGAACUGUACAUUUUAUUCUUUUUAAAUUUGGUAAUUUAUUAAGCCUAAAUAAUCAGAUGCACAAGACUGUCUUUUCAGCAUGACUGUUAAGUCCACUACCGAUCUCUGCUGGAAUCCCUUCAUCACAAUGCAUAAAGCUGAUGUAAAAUGAAGGAGAGCAGUGAGGAAGGGUAUUUCCAGGAAAGGUUGUUAGAUGGCUGACAAGAGAUCUGCAAAGAAGGAGACAUUUUCUUUGGUAAUUUAGCCUCAUUCCUUGGUCCUGUCUUCAACAUUACAUGUCUAGAAACUACAAGUGAAUCAUUCUUUUGGGGACAGACUCACAUUAACCAGUAUUACAUAAGCCUGAUGUACGAGUCAGAAUACCAACAUGCUACUCAUUAAAAGUUAAUGCAACAAGUUGGCACAUUCUCUUCCCUAGACAAACACCUCUAUGGGAAGCCAAAUUUUAACCCAAGACCCAAAGACUCCCAAGUGCAAGACCAAGAGUCUUGGUCAGCAGGAAUCACCAAGAGGAACUGAUGGAUGAUCAGUUCAUCCAUCAGUUGCUGGGCAAUCUUAGCCACUAGUGCUGUCACACGCAGUUCCUCAAAGAAGCAGGGAUGGAGAGCUAGGACAUUCCAAGACCUGGACUGGGAACUGCACAAUCCACUGUUGGCUCACUGUGGGGAUUGGAAUGGGGACCCAAGAGACCAGAACUUGACAUGGAGGAGUACCAGUCCAGAACCAGGUAUACUAUCCAAACUGAGUCCCCAGAGAAAUCCCCGGAGGAGAGUUGCAAACACAAAGCUACUUGUGAAGUCAGAGAAACGUGGGCAAUGGGAAAGAUGGUCUAACUAAAGAGGAAAGAAGCUGUGUUAACCACUCUUUGUUGAUUUCCUGUAGUCACAAUUAAAUACAUAUGAAGACACAGAUUUGGAGAAAAGCAAUCCAGGCUAGGCACGGUGACUCAACGCCAGUAAUCCCAGCAGUUUGGGAGGCCGAGGCGGGCGGAUCACCUGAGGUCAGGAGUUGUUCGAGACCAGCCUGGCCAACAUGGUGAAACUCCAUCUCUACCAAAAAUACAAAAAUUAGCUGGGCAUGGUGGCGGACACCUGUAAUCUCAGCUACUUGGGAGGCUGAGGCAGGAGAAUCGCUUGAACCCAGGAGGCGGAGGUUGCAGUCAGUAGAGAAUGCACCAUUGUACUCUAGCCUGGGAGACGGAGCGAGACUCUAUGUAGAAAGAAAAAAAAAAAAA